AGCGAACGCUGACGGCAGGCUUAACACAUGCAAGUCGAGCGGGCCCUUCGGGGUCAGCGGCGGACGGGUGAGUAACGCGUGGGAACGUGCCCUCUGGUCUGGAAUAACCCUGGGAAACUAGGGCUAAUACCGGAUACGCCCUUUUGGGGAAAGGCUUGCCGCCGGAGGAUCGGCCCGCGUCUGAUUAGCUAGUUGGUGGGGUAACGGCCUACCAAGGCGACGAUCAGUAGCUGGUCUGAGAGGACGAUCAGCCACACUGGGACUGAGACACGGCCCAGACUCCUACGGGAGGCAGCAGUGGGGAAUAUUGGACAAUGGGCGCAAGCCUGAUCCAGCCAUGCCGCGUGAGUGAUGAAGGCCUUAGGGUUGUAAAGCUCUUUUAUCCGGGACGAUAAUGACGGUACCGGAGGAAUAAGCCCCGGCUAACUUCGUGCCAGCCGCCGCCGUAA
This 449-nucleotide ribosomal RNA is filed under the name uncultured bacterium. Its description in RNAcentral is "partial 16S ribosomal RNA". It matches the Rfam family "Bacterial small subunit ribosomal RNA", at positions 28 to 523 of the family's 1533-position model. The record is from RNAcentral.